GAGAAACUCCUCUUCCGGUUUUGUCGGUCCAUGCGUGGCAAUGCAAACACACGCGGAGAACCUGUCGAUCAAUCCUUGGCCAUCCACUCGAGCAGUGUGACAUCCGAGUGUAAUAUUCACUGACUGACAUCCUGUGCAGUCAUUUCACUUGAUCAGCGUGAUGUUCUCUACCUCCUGACCUCAGAUGCUACUGGAUGAACAUAUGCUUGUUUGGUUGGAUUGAAGAAGAUGAGGAACAAGCAGAUGGGGCGGAUAGAUGGAACUACAUGAUGCUACAGAGAGCAUACAGCUCAAUACUUCAAAACCAGAGCGAGAGAGAGAGAGAGGACUACCAAGCCUAGUAAUGGAAUGACCACGCUGCCCCCUACUGGUGGUAUGAGAUGACAAUGCUGAUCUCUUUUUUUGGUACAAUGCGACCCCAGCUCACUAUGAUUACUUACAGAUGUCCAAGGUUCUCCAGUACGACAGAUCAACUGUGGUAAUUUGAACGAUAUCUUCUUCCAGGACUUGGUCUUCACAUAAAUUAGAUGUCCUGCAUGCGGUGGCUGUCCGUUUAGGAAAGCAUCAGGUUCAAAGCCAUGCAAGCAAAUUGCUCUACCGAAAGGAAAGGACUAUUUUCCGCCAUGAGAAGAGGUGGCAUCCCUGCAGCAAUUGCCUGCUGCGCGCUUCGUUCAGAGAACUUUCCUCCAGAAGGUCUUAUUUUGGUCCAUGUGAUGUCACCUGUCAAAAAUUGAGCUGUUUGGCCACAAUACCCAGCAAUAUGUUUGGAGGAGAAAAGGUGAGGACUUAAAUCCCAGGAACACCAAGCCUACCAUCAAGCAUGGUGGUGGUAGUAUUAUGGAACUGGUGCUUUACAGAGAGUAAAUGGGACAAUGAAAAAGGAGGAUUACCUCCAAAUUCUUCAGGACAACCUAAAGUAUGACCCAAAGUCCUGACUUAAACCUGUGGAAAAUGCUGAAGAAACAAUUCCAUGUCAGAAAACCAACAAAUUUAGCUGAACUGCACCAAUUUUGUCAAGAGGAGUGGUCAAAAAUUCAACCAGAAGCUUGCCAGAAGCUUGUGGAUGGCUACCAAAAGUGUCUUAUUGCAGUGAAACUUGCCAAGGGACAUGUAACCAAAUAUUAACAUUGCUGUAUGUAUACUUUUGACCCAGCAGAUUUGCUCACAUUUUCAGUAGACUAUUGAGUCUACUGAAAAUGUGACCAAAUCAUAAAAGAACCAAACUUCAUGAAUGUUUUUUGUGACCAACAAGUAUGUGCUCCAAUCACUCUAUCACAAAAAAUAAGAGUUGUAGAAAUUAUUGGAAACAAGACAGUCAUGACAUUAUGUUCUUUAC
This is a long non-coding RNA of Entelurus aequoreus (snake pipefish), 1336 nucleotides long. RefSeq lists it as uncharacterized. The record is from RefSeq and is a predicted model, not a curated record. NCBI's taxonomy places the organism in Eukaryota, Metazoa, Chordata, Actinopteri, Syngnathiformes, Syngnathidae. The transcript has 9 exons.